CGGAAGGGUGGGGAGCGCGUGAGUAAUCUGCCCCCCAGUUGGGAAUAACAGUUGGAAACGACUGCUAAUACCGAAUGUGGCUUAAGCUUCGCCUGGAGCUUUGGCUAAAGAUUUAUCGCUGGGGGAUGAGCUCGCGUCCCAUUAGCUAGUUGGAGAGGUAACGGCUCACCAAGGCGACGAUGGGUAGCUGGUCUGAGAGGAUGGUCAGCCACACUGGGACUGAGACACUGCCCAGACUCCUACGGGAGGCUGCAGUCGAGAAUCUUGGGCAAUGCGCGAAAGCGUGACCCAGCAAUGCCGCGUGUAUGAUGAAGGCCCUCGGGUCGUAAAGUACUGUCUCCCGUGACGAAAUUCGACGGUAACGGGGAAGGAAGCCACGGCUAACUACGUGCCAGCAGCCGCGGUAAUACGUAGGUGGCGAGCGUUAUUCGGAUUUAUUGGGCGUAAAGGGUCUGUAGGAGGUUUGUUAAAUACGGGGUGAAAUCCCGAAGCUCAACUUCGGAAUUGCCUUGUAGACUGACGGACUAGAGUACCGGAGAGGUAAGCGGAAUACCAGGUGUAGCGGUGGAAUGCGUAGAUAUCUGGUAGAACACCAAAAGCGAAGGCAGCUUGCCGGACGGAAACUGACUCUGAAAGACGAAAGCAUGGGGAGCAAACAGGAUUAGAUACCCUGGUAGUCCAUGCCGUAAACGUUGUCAACUUGAUGUGGGGGGAUUUAGUCCUCUCCGUAUCGAAGCUAACGCGAUAAGUUGACCGCCUGGGGACUACGGCCGCAAGGCUAAAACUCAAAGGAAUUGACGGGGGCCCGCACAAGCGGUGGAGCAUGUGGCUUAAUUCGAGGCAACGCGAAGAACCUUACCUGGUCUUGAAAUAUAUCGGAUCG
This 883-nucleotide ribosomal RNA is filed under the name uncultured bacterium. Its description in RNAcentral is "bacterial SSU rRNA". It matches the Rfam family "Bacterial small subunit ribosomal RNA", at positions 99 to 998 of the family's 1533-position model. The record is from RNAcentral.